CAGUCGCCGCGGUAAUACGAAGGGUGCAAGCGUUAAUCGGAAUUACUGGGCGUAAAGCGUGCGUAGGCGGUGAGUUAAGUCUGCUGUGAAAUCCCCGGGCUCAACCUGGGAAUGGCAGUGGAUACUGGCUCGCUAGAGUGUGUCAGAGGAUGGUGGAAUUCCCGGUGUAGCGGUGAAAUGCGUAGAGAUCGGGAGGAACAUCAGUGGCGAAGGCGGCCAUCUGGGACAACACUGACGCUCAUGCACGAAAGCGUGGGGAGCAAACAGGAUUAGAUACCCCCGUAGUCCCUGUCUCUUAUAA
RNAcentral lists this ribosomal RNA (301 nucleotides) under uncultured bacterium. Its description in RNAcentral is "partial 16S ribosomal RNA". It matches the Rfam family "Bacterial small subunit ribosomal RNA", at positions 509 to 809 of the family's 1533-position model. The record is from RNAcentral.